Molecule: ribosomal RNA, 253 nt
Filed under: uncultured bacterium
Lineage: Bacteria
Description: partial 16S ribosomal RNA
Rfam family: Bacterial small subunit ribosomal RNA
Source: RNAcentral
GACGGAGGGCGCAAGCGUUGUUCGGAAUUACUGGGCGUAAAGCGCACGUAGGUGGUUUGUUAAGUCAGCUGUGAAAUCCCCGGGCUCAACCUGGGCACUGCAGUUGAAACUGGCAAGCUAGAGUAGGGUAGAGGGGUGUGGAAUUCCAGGUGUAGCGGUGAAAUGCGUAGAUAUCUGGAGGAACAUCAGUGGCGAAGGCGACACCCUGGACUCAUACUGACACUGAGGUGCGAAAGCGUGGGGAGCAAACAGG